This 360-nucleotide unclassified non-coding RNA is filed under the name Hevea brasiliensis (rubber tree). The record is from RNAcentral. Lineage: Eukaryota; Viridiplantae; Streptophyta; Magnoliopsida; Malpighiales; Euphorbiaceae.
GUGCUUCCAGUAAGUCGGUCAUAAGAGUGUACUGAUAGCAACUUGAGCGCCGAGGGAAUAGAAGAGCAGUGGCUCAUUCUCGUAGGGGUUCUUUCCCUUGCUAAUUGCAUUCGGUUUCAGCAAGGGCAGUAUAUUGGAGCAGUGUUUUUGGCUGCAAAGAGUUUACUCAAGUGAUGCUUCAUUAGGCGCUUAAGCAAAUUCGAAAGCAAAGGCAUUGUGGUAUUCUUAGUUCUAAGUUUCUUCUACUCUCUUUCUCAAAUUAAUUCUUGAAGUUACCUUGCAAUUGAGGUAACGCUUGACUCUAAAAAUUGAUUAGCAUAGUUGAUAUAUAUAUAUAUAUAUGCGAUUUAGGGCAUUUGC